RNAcentral lists this transfer RNA (49 nucleotides) under Microhyla okinavensis (Okinawa rice frog). Its description in RNAcentral is "partial tRNA-Val". The record is from RNAcentral. Lineage: Eukaryota; Metazoa; Chordata; Amphibia; Anura; Microhylidae.
GCAUCUCGCUUACACCGAGAACAUAUCUGUGAGAUCCGGAUCAUUUUGA